This 497-nucleotide long non-coding RNA is filed under the name Callithrix jacchus (white-tufted-ear marmoset). Its description in RNAcentral is "lncRNA (ENSCJAG00000086186.1)". Lineage: Eukaryota; Metazoa; Chordata; Mammalia; Primates; Cebidae. The record is from RNAcentral.
GCUCUAAGAUGAAAAGCAGGAACUGUGACCAAGAUUGGAAAAUGAGAACAACACAAAAAGAUCUCUUUUGUGCUCCUCUUCUCCAAGUUUAUAACAACCCCCUCCCCACCUGGCUUCUCGUGUUCUCUGUGGUCUGCCCUGCCUGGCUCAGGUCUUCUGCCACAGGGCGGGCCCCGCCGAUGGAUGGAGAGUUCCAAACCUGGAGCUGUGGUUGGCAAUCAGCAUUUCAAGCACCCAAAAUGUGUAGAAGAAUAUGGACCAAAGAAAGGAGCAGAAAGACAAAUAGAGGAAUGGAGAAUUUUGCCUGCGACUAUGAUGUUCUCAAGGUUAGCCGACCGUGCUCUAAAAUCCACCAAGAUUCCCAUUUUGGGAGUUGCUAUGUGACCAAGGUCUGCCCCUGUGGUAUGGGGACCACUUGCUCAUGCAGUUACAGUUCUUGCCUAACAGGAGCCCAUCAUGGUAAGAAAAAGACUCAAGUUGGUUCAUUUUUUUUUUAA